AGAUACCCUGGUAGUCCACGCCGUAAACGAUGUCGACUUGGAGGUUGUGCCCUUGAGGCGUGGCUUCCGGAGCUAACGCGUUAAGUCGACCGCCUGGGGAGUACGGCCGCAAGGUUAAAACUCAAAUGAAUUGACGGGGGCCCGCACAAGCGGUGGAGCAUGUGGUUUAAUUCGAUGCAACGCGAAGAACCUUACCUGGUCUUGACAUCCACAGAACUUUCCAGAGAUGGAUUGGUGCCUUCGGGAACUGUGAGACAGGUGCUGCAUGGCUGUCGUCAGCUCGUGUUGUGAAAUGUUGGGUUAAGUCCCGCAACGAGCGCAACCCUUAUCCUUUGUUGCCAGCGGUCCGGCCGGGAACUCAAAGGAGACUGCCAGUGAUAAACUGGAGGAAGGUGGGGAUGACGUCAAGUCAUCAUGGCCCUUACGACCAGGGCUACACACGUGCUACAAUGGCGCAUACAAAGAGAAGCGACCUCGCGAGAGCAAGCGGACCUCAUAAAGUGCGUCGUAGUCCGGAUUGGAGUCUGCAACUCGACUCCAUGAAGUCGGAAUCGCUAGUAAUCGUGGAUCAGAAUGCCACGGUGAAUACGUUCCCGGGCCUUGUACACACCGCCCGUCACACCAUGGGAGUGGGUUGCAAAAGAAGUAGGUAGCUUAACCUUCGGGAGGGCGCUUACCACUUUGUGAUUCAUGACUGGGGUGAAGUCGUAACAAGGUAACCGUAGGGGAACCUGCGGUUG
This 740-nucleotide ribosomal RNA is filed under the name Escherichia coli 2-460-02_S3_C3. Its description in RNAcentral is "bacterial SSU rRNA". It matches the Rfam family "Bacterial small subunit ribosomal RNA", at positions 780 to 1520 of the family's 1533-position model. The record is from RNAcentral. Lineage: Bacteria; Pseudomonadati; Pseudomonadota; Gammaproteobacteria; Enterobacterales; Enterobacteriaceae.